RNAcentral lists this ribosomal RNA (450 nucleotides) under uncultured Glomus. RNAcentral describes it as "SSU rRNA". It matches the Rfam family "Eukaryotic small subunit ribosomal RNA", at positions 569 to 1024 of the family's 1831-position model. The record is from RNAcentral. Lineage: Eukaryota; Fungi; Glomeromycota; Glomeromycetes; Glomerales; Glomeraceae.
AGCAGCCGCGGUAAUUCCAGCUCCAAUAGCGUAUAUUAAAGUUGUUGCAGUUAAAAAGCUCGUAGUUGAAUUUCGGGAUUAGUACGCUGGUCGUGCCUUCGGUAUGUACUGGUGUUACUGAUUCCUACCUUCUGAUGAAUCGUCAUGUCAUUCAUUUGGUGUGGCGGGGAAUCAGGACUGUUACUUUGAAAAAUUAGAGUGUUUAAAGCAGGCUCGCGCUUGAAUACAUUAGCAUGGAAUAAUGAAAUAGGACGUUCGAUCCUAUUUUGUUGGUUUCUAGGAUUGACGUAAUGAUUAAUAGGGAUAGUUGGGGGCAUUAGUAUUCAAUUGUCAGAGGUGAAAUUCUUGGAUUUAUUGAAGACUAACUACUGCGAAAGCAUUUGCCAAGGAUGUUUUCAUUAAUCAAGAACGAAAGUUAGGGGAUCGAAGACGAUCAGAUACCGUCGUAGU